GGGGGAUAACGUAGCGAAAGUUACGCUAAUACCGCAUACGUACUGAGGUAGAAAGCGGGGGAUCGAAAGACCUCGCGCUCAUGGAGCGGCCGAUGUCGGAUUAGCUAGUUGGCGGGGUAAGAGCCCACCAAGGCGACGAUCCGUAGCUGGUCUGAGAGGACGACCAGCCACACUGGGACUGAGACACGGCCCAGACUCCUACGGGAGGCAGCAGUGGG
This 218-nucleotide ribosomal RNA is filed under the name uncultured bacterium. Its description in RNAcentral is "partial 16S ribosomal RNA". It matches the Rfam family "Bacterial small subunit ribosomal RNA", at positions 138 to 358 of the family's 1533-position model. The record is from RNAcentral.